Molecule: non-coding RNA, 72 nt
Organism: Podarcis lilfordi (Lilford's wall lizard)
Lineage: Eukaryota; Metazoa; Chordata; Lepidosauria; Squamata; Lacertidae
Source: the annotation of a GenBank genome assembly
GGGCCACUGGCUCAGCAGUAGAGUACAUGCUUUGCGUGCAGAAAGUCACAGGUUCAAUCCCUGGCAUCUCCA